GUCCCCACCCAAAUCUCAUCACGAAUUGAAAUCCCCAUGUGUAAGGUGAGGUACCUGGUGGGAGGUGAUUGAUUGGAUCAUGAGGGUGGAUUUCCCCCAUGCUGUUCUCAUGAUAGUGAGUUCUCAUGAGAGCUGAUGGUUUUAAAGUGUGGCACUUCCCCCAUGGCUGUCUGUCUCCUGCCACAAUGUAACACAUGCCUUCUUCCCCUUCACCUUCAGCUAUAGGUGUCCCGAAGUCUCCCAACCAUGUGGAACUGUGACUCAAACCACUUUUCUUUAUAACUUACCCAGUUUCACAUAGUUCAUUACAACAGUGUGAAAAUGGACUAAUACAUAUAGCAAAUAUGAGUAAAACAUAUAUCCACAAAAAAACUUGUAUGCAAUGCUCAGAGUAUCAUUGCUUAUAGUAGCCAAUUACUAUCAACAAUCCAAUUUCUAGCAACUGAUAAAUUGAUGAAAAAAUAUAGUAUAACCAUACAAGAAAAUACCAUUCAGCCAUAAAAAGGUGUGAACAUUGUUAAUGAUAUAACAUAGAUGAACCUCGAAAACUUCAUGCUAAGUGAAAGAAGCCAGGUAUAAAAGAUCACAUAAUGCUCAAUUUCAUUUAUAUGAAAUUUAUGAAAUGUAUAGACAAAUCCCUAGAAACAAAUUAGAUUACUGUCUAUCUAGUGCUGCAGAGUUGGGGUAAAAUGAGGAAUGACUGCUAAUUAGGUCUGGUAUAGAUAUAUUUUUUAAUGUCAUAAAAUUGUUCUAAAAGUGAAUGUGAUAAUUGCACAUCUCUGUGAAUAUACUACAUACUAUUCAGUUGUACACUUUAAGGGGAAUUGUAUACUACGUGAUAACUAAGUAAAAUAUCAUGCAGUAAAAGUCUGCAAUGUCAAUGUCAUGCAAAUAAAAAAUCUGCAGAAAUGUGCAGAUUGAGGUAUUUGCAAUUGUUGAUCUUUAUCCUGAAGGCACUUUCCCUAUGUAAUACCAUUGCUAACUUUCUUUUAGCUGUUAUAUUUCCACUUAAAGUUCCCUUCAGCAAGUAGGCUUCUUUGAUCAUCUUAUUGGAAAAAAAAAAAAAAA
This 1068-nucleotide long non-coding RNA is filed under the name Macaca fascicularis (crab-eating macaque). RNAcentral describes it as "lncRNA (ENSMFAG00000058659.1)". Lineage: Eukaryota; Metazoa; Chordata; Mammalia; Primates; Cercopithecidae. The record is from RNAcentral.